This 285-nucleotide ribosomal RNA is filed under the name Enterobacter bugandensis. RNAcentral describes it as "partial 16S ribosomal RNA". It matches the Rfam family "Bacterial small subunit ribosomal RNA", at positions 1245 to 1533 of the family's 1533-position model. Lineage: Bacteria; Pseudomonadati; Pseudomonadota; Gammaproteobacteria; Enterobacterales; Enterobacteriaceae. The record is from RNAcentral.
AGAGCAAGCGGAGAGCAAGCGGACCUCAUAAAGUGCGUCGUAGUCCGGAUUGGAGUCUGCAACUCGACUCCAUGAAGUCGGAAUCGCUAGUAAUCGUGGAUCAGAAUGCCACGGUGAAUACGUUCCCGGGCCUUGUACACACCGCCCGUCACACCAUGGGAGUGGGUUGCAAAAGAAGUAGGUAGCUUAACCUUCGGGAGGGCGCUUACCACUUUGUGAUUCAUGACUGGGGUGAAGUCGUAACAAGGUAACCGUAGGGGAACCUGCGGUUGGAUCACCUCCUUA